RNAcentral lists this ribosomal RNA (497 nucleotides) under uncultured bacterium. RNAcentral describes it as "partial 16S ribosomal RNA". It matches the Rfam family "Bacterial small subunit ribosomal RNA", at positions 28 to 507 of the family's 1533-position model. The record is from RNAcentral.
GAUGAACGCUGGCGGCGUGCCUAAUACAUGCAAGUCGAGCGAACGGACGAGAAGCUUGCUUCUCUGAUGUUAGCGUCGGACGGGUGAGUAACACGUGGAUAACCUACCUAUAAGACUGGGAUAACUUCGGGAAACCGGAGCUAAUACCGGAUAAUCUUUUGAACCGCAUGGUUCAAAAGUUAAAGACGGUCUUGCUGUCACUUAUAGAUGGAUCCGCUCUGCAUUAGCUAGUUGGUAAGGUAACGGCUUACCAAGGCAACGAUGCAUAGCCGACCUGAGAGGGUGAUCGGCCACACUGGAACUGAGACACGGUCCAGACUCCUACGGGAGGCAGCAGUAGGGAAUCUUGCGCAAUGGGCGAAAGCCUGACGGAGCAACGCCGCGUGAGUGAAGAAGGUCUUCGGAUCGUAAAACUCUGUUAUUAGGGAAGAACAGAUGUGUAAGUAAAUGUGCACAUAUUGACGGUACCUAAUCAGAAAGCCACGGCUAACUACGUG